GGACAUGUCACGUUGAAAGCCCGGUUCACGUGCGAUCACCGAAGUUAAGCAACGUCGAGUCUGGUCAGUACUUAGAUAGGUGACCACUUGGGAAUACGA
Acanthosepion pharaonis is the source of this 99-nucleotide non-coding RNA. NCBI's taxonomy places the organism in Eukaryota, Metazoa, Mollusca, Cephalopoda, Sepiida, Sepiidae. The record is from the annotation of a GenBank genome assembly.